This 253-nucleotide ribosomal RNA is filed under the name uncultured bacterium. Its description in RNAcentral is "partial 16S ribosomal RNA". It matches the Rfam family "Bacterial small subunit ribosomal RNA", at positions 524 to 776 of the family's 1533-position model. The record is from RNAcentral.
UACAGAGGGUGCAAACGUUGUUCGGAUUUACUGGGCGUAAAGCGCGUGUAGGCUGCUUCGCAAGUCGGAUGUGAAAGCCCUGGGCUCAACCCAGGAAGUGCAUUCGAAACUGCAGAACUGGAGUCCUGGAGAGGAAGGCGGAAUUCUCGGUGUAGAGGUGAAAUUCGUAGAUAUCGAGAGGAACACCGGUGGCGAAGGCGGCCUUCUGGACAGUGACUGACGCUGAGACGCGAAAGCGUGGGGAGCAAACAGG